GGAAACAGAUUCUAAUACCGGAUAACAACAGAUGAUGCCUAUCAACUGUUUAAAAGAUGGUUCUGCUAUCACUCUUGGAUGGACCUGCGGUGCAUUAGCUAGUUGGUAGGGUAACGGCCUACCAAGGCGAUGAUGCAUAGCCGAGUUGAGAGACUGAUCGGCCACAUUGGGACUGAGACACGGCCCAAACUCCUACGGGAGGCAGCAGGU
RNAcentral lists this ribosomal RNA (210 nucleotides) under uncultured Lactobacillus sp. RNAcentral's name for it is "partial 16S ribosomal RNA". It matches the Rfam family "Bacterial small subunit ribosomal RNA", at positions 152 to 354 of the family's 1533-position model. Lineage: Bacteria; Bacillati; Bacillota; Bacilli; Lactobacillales; Lactobacillaceae. The record is from RNAcentral.